UACGUAGGGUGCAAGCGUUGUCCGGAAUUAUUGGGCGUAAAGCGCGUGUAGGCGGCCACGCAGGUCCGUUGUGAAAACUAGAGGCUCAACCUCUAGACGUCGACGGAAACCGUGUGGCUAGAGUCCGGAAGAGGAGAGUGGAAUUCCUGGUGUAGCGGUGAAAUGCGCAGAUAUCAGGAAGAACACCAAUGACGAAGGCAGCUCUCUGGGACGGUACUGACGCUGAGACGCGAAAGCGUGGGGAGCGAACAGG
This 253-nucleotide ribosomal RNA is filed under the name uncultured bacterium. Its description in RNAcentral is "partial 16S ribosomal RNA". It matches the Rfam family "Bacterial small subunit ribosomal RNA", at positions 524 to 776 of the family's 1533-position model. The record is from RNAcentral.